RNAcentral lists this ribosomal RNA (248 nucleotides) under uncultured Ruminococcus sp. RNAcentral describes it as "partial 16S ribosomal RNA". It matches the Rfam family "Bacterial small subunit ribosomal RNA", at positions 524 to 771 of the family's 1533-position model. The record is from RNAcentral. Lineage: Bacteria; Bacillati; Bacillota; Clostridia; Eubacteriales; Oscillospiraceae.
UACGUAGGGGGCAAGCGUUAUCCGGAAUUACUGGGUGUAAAGGGAGUGUAGGCGGGAUGGCAAGUUAGGUGUGAAAUGCGGAGGCUCAACCUCCGAGCUGCACUUAAAACUGCUGUUCUUGAGUGAAGUAGAGGCAGGCGGAAUUCCUAGUGUAGCGGUGAAAUGCGUAGAUAUUAGGAGGAACAUCAGUGGCGAAGGCGGCCUGCUGGGCUUUUACUGACGCUGAGACACGAAAGCGUGGGGAGCAA